UACGGGGGGGGCAAGCGUUGUUCGGAAUUACUGGGCGUAAAGGGCGCGUAGGCGGUUGGAUAAGUCAGCUGUGAAAACCACGGGCUUAACUCGUGGCCUGCAGUUGAGACUGUCUGGCUUGAGUGUGGGAGAGGAGAGUGGAAUUCCUGGUGUAGCGGUGAAAUGCGUAGAUAUCAGGAAGAACACCCGUGGCGAAAGCGGCUCUCUGGAACGGUACUGACGCUGAGACGCGAAAGCGUGGGGAGCGAACAGG
RNAcentral lists this ribosomal RNA (253 nucleotides) under uncultured bacterium. RNAcentral's name for it is "partial 16S ribosomal RNA". It matches the Rfam family "Bacterial small subunit ribosomal RNA", at positions 524 to 776 of the family's 1533-position model. The record is from RNAcentral.